GCCGGUGUAGCUCAAUGGUAGAGCAGCUGUUUAGUAGUCAGAAGACGGGGUUCGAUUCCCAUCACCGGCU
Molecule: transfer RNA, 70 nt
Filed under: Myxococcales bacterium
Lineage: Bacteria; Pseudomonadati; Myxococcota; Myxococcia; Myxococcales
Description: tRNA-Thr
Rfam family: tRNA
About the family: Transfer RNA (tRNA) molecules are approximately 80 nucleotides in length. Their secondary structure includes four short double-helical elements and three loops (D, anti-codon, and T loops).
Source: RNAcentral